GAUGAACGCUAGCUACAGGCUUAACACAUGCAAGUCGAGGGGCAGCAUGAAGUUUGCUUGCAAACUUUGAUGGCGACCGGCGCACGGGUGAGUAACGCGUAUCCAACCUUCCCCUUAGUAGGGCAUAGCCCGGCGAAAGUCGGAUUAAUACCCUAUGUUCUUCGUAGAUGACAUCUGAAAUGAAGCAAAGGUUUACCGCUAAGGGAUGGGGAUGCGUCUGAUUAGGCAGUCGGCGGGGUAACGGCCCACCGAGCCGACGAUCAGUAGGGGUUCUGAGAGGAAGGUCCCCCACAUUGGAACUGAGACACGGUCCAAACUCCUACGGGAGGCAGCAGUGAGGAAUAUUGGUCAAUGGGCGCGAGCCUGAACCAGCCAAGUAGCGUGCAGGAAGACGGCCCUAUGGGUUGUAAACUGCUUUUAUGCGGGGAUAAAGUCGCCCACGUGUGGGUGUUUGUAGGUACCGCAUGAAUAAGGACCGGCUAAUUCCGUGCCAGCCGCCGCCGUAAAAC
This 509-nucleotide ribosomal RNA is filed under the name uncultured bacterium. RNAcentral describes it as "bacterial SSU rRNA". It matches the Rfam family "Bacterial small subunit ribosomal RNA", at positions 28 to 526 of the family's 1533-position model. The record is from RNAcentral.